GCCAGGUGGGUGUGGACGGCAUGGGGACGCGCCGCGUGAACUUCCCGGGAGCGCUGUGGCGUGCAGAAGGAGAGGACUUGGUGAGGAGCUGCUGCCACCCGAGCUGGGCCAGGACCUGAGAUCUCAUUGCUACUGCUGCUGCUGCUGUCUGGGAGACCUUUCUGAGACCCAGGUUGGGGACAGUGCCGGAGGGGCCUCCUCUGCUGCAGACAUCUGGCCGCAGGAGGGAGCUGGCUGGACCGAAGCUGGGCACACAUGGACAGGAAGCUCCUGGACCCAGCGUAAGAAGAAGUGGGCGGGACACCAAUGCCGAUCUCUGGCUUCAGGUCAACUGCUUGCUCGUGGAGCCUCAGUUUCCUCAUCUGGAAGUGAGAGCCCCAUGGGCCCAGGUAAGAAGGCUGCACGGGGCUCCCACAAAGUCAGCGGUGUCAGCUCCUGGUUUAGACGAGGCUCCUGGCAGGGGCUCUGUCCACGUUCCGUCUCUUUCCCUGUCGCUCUGCACCCGCCUGACCAGACUGUCCUGAGGGCAGGGCCAGUGUGGGAGCCUCAGUGCUGGAUGGCUCCCUGAUGGUCACAGCAGCCAGAAGGAGCUGGGAGGCCUGGCUGUCAUCCGUCAUACUAACGGGCACACUCAGCAUGGGCGGGGGUGAGCCAGUGGAGACGGAGGCCAGCUGUGAAUUACAUGCCUGGGGCCCUGUGUGGUUCUUUUG
Molecule: long non-coding RNA, 710 nt
Filed under: Aotus nancymaae (Ma's night monkey)
Lineage: Eukaryota; Metazoa; Chordata; Mammalia; Primates; Aotidae
Description: lncRNA (ENSANAG00000039401.1)
Source: RNAcentral